ACUUGUCCGGUUGACGCAUAUAACUAUAGUAGCAGUGGUCACUUGUAUAUCUUCAGUUUUUUCGUUACAUUGUCUUGCUACUAUAGUCUUGUUACAUGUAUACAUUCAGUUGUUCAUUACAAUAGCGGUAGUUGUACUUUCUUUCAUAUAUAUGUCUCUUUCAUUCAUUAUUAUUGCUACUGUAUUUUCUACUGACCCGUACUGUUGUUUAGCUCUUCCUGAUCCGAUGAGUACUCCUCGCCUUCUUCGGCUUGCGGUACCCACUGGGAGGGGAGACAUGUUUACAUGUUCUCACCUCCCCCACCAUUUUUCAGGUAUCGCAGGCGAUGUGUAUUGGGACGAGACGUGAGGUACGUUCGUAGUGGUCGAUAGAGCUUCCGACCCAGGUUGUUCGGUUUAGUUUCUUACCCUUCUUAUUUCGGUCAAUGUAUAGUUUAGUUGGUUUAUGUGGUUCAGUAUUUAUUUACAUUUGAAAAUGUGGAUUUCUGUUUAAACAUUGAAUGUAAAACUGUGAUGUGAAUGGUGAACGUAUGAAUGUAUAGUUAUCUUUAUAUUCAUCUAGUGGUGGUUGUGUCCUGGUUGUAUUCUUGUACUUGUGCGACGCCGUGCAAAUACAGGGGAGACUCUGUCCGUGUGAACAGUGGAUCUCCAGUAUUUGUGGCGGAUCUGGCAUACUCUGGGGUCAAGUUUUCAAAAAAAAAAAUUUCAGACGCUUUUCCGCUAUCUUUUAAACUGAAAGGGACCCCGAGGCGUGACACGCUUCGUAAAGCCGCAUCACUCAUAAUCGUA
RNAcentral lists this long non-coding RNA (789 nucleotides) under Ananas comosus (pineapple). RNAcentral's name for it is "long non-coding RNA (ACOM_LNC009175)". The record is from RNAcentral. Lineage: Eukaryota; Viridiplantae; Streptophyta; Magnoliopsida; Poales; Bromeliaceae.